GACGAACGCUGGCGGCGUGCUUAACACAUGCAAGUCGAACGGAAAGGCCCUGCUUUUGUGGGGUGCUCGAGUGGCGAACGGGUGAGUAACACGUGAGUAACCUGCCCUUGACUUUGGGAUAACUUCAGGAAACUGGGGCUAAUACCGGAUAGGAGCUCCUGCUGCAUGGUGGGGGUUGGAAAGUUUCGGCGGUUGGGGAUGGACUCGCGGCUUAUCAGCUUGUUGGUGGGGUAGUGGCUUACCAAGGCUUUGACGGGUAGCCGGCCUGAGAGGGUGACCGGCCACAUUGGGACUGAGAUACGGCGCAGACUCCUACGGGAGGCAGCAGUGGGGAAUAUUGCACAAUGGGCGGAAGCCUGAUGCAGCAACGCCGCGUGCGGGAUGACGGCCUUCGGGUUGUAAACCGCUUUCGCCUGUGACGAAGCGUGAGUGACGGUAAUGGGUAAAGAAGCACCGGCUAACUACGU
This 467-nucleotide ribosomal RNA is filed under the name uncultured bacterium. Its description in RNAcentral is "partial 16S ribosomal RNA". It matches the Rfam family "Bacterial small subunit ribosomal RNA", at positions 28 to 506 of the family's 1533-position model. The record is from RNAcentral.